This is a long non-coding RNA of Mauremys mutica (yellowpond turtle), 593 nucleotides long. RefSeq lists it as uncharacterized. Lineage: Eukaryota; Metazoa; Chordata; Testudines; Geoemydidae. The transcript is spliced from 3 exons. The record is from RefSeq and is a predicted model, not a curated record.
AGCAGGGGAGUGACGUAUAACACGCCAAACCAAUCAAAACGUCGUGUCCCGCCUCAACCGGAGAGAGACUUAUGGGUGGGUGUGUCGAUCAGCGUGGAGCAGCGCAUGCGUGGUACAUUGGAUGUUCAGAGAAGACCUGUUCAAUCAAGGCUAAUCAAGUUUGGAAAAGAUGUGUACCAAAAAAGACCCUGCCCUGGAAAGUUAGAGCUGUGCAGUGGAGAACUGCUCCUGACACACCCACACACUCUGGAGAAAGUAGGACUCAGGUGAUGUCCCCUCACCCACCAGGAUGCCUUGGGGAAAAACUGCAGAGAGGAUUGGAACCAUGCAGAGACACCAUUAAGUAGGACUGAAGAAGCAGCCAAAGCAGGAUCCUUUGGACAUUCUAGAGACUUUUCUACAGAUUCCGCUGGACUUUUUAUUGCAUGUGCCGAUUGGCUGUUUGUUCCAAUCCUCUCCUUCCCUUCCCUCACAGUCUCUUCACCUCAGCUUCAUUCCCUCUUCACUUCUGCUUCCUGUCCCUGUGCCCCUUCCCCUCACCUCAUUCUCUUCAAUGUCCCCCCUCCCUUUACUUUACUUUUAGUUUAACUGUU